GGAUACGCUCUAGGCAUCAUGAUCCAGGGACGCGUCUUCACAAUUAUGGCAAGAGCUUAAUUGAAGAUAGACGUUGCACAGGAUAUGGAAACUAGGCUUGAUUUAUGGGCGGCUAUUUAGGCUAGAUUGUAUCUCAUUUCUAAAGGGAUCCCAAUGGAAGAAAAUCCUAGAGCUUUCAGGAUUAAGGGGUAAUGAGCUGAAUAUUAGUUUAACUACCUAAAAUAGGUCACCUACACACGUAUAAAUACCACUCUUCCUCAUUCGGAAGAACACACACGACAUACAACGCAACUCUCACACACUUAGACACCAAAAGCAAUAGUGAUCCUUGUACUCAGCUCAUUAUCAUCCAAAGUUGUAACCAUUUUAUUCUUAUAUUGAAGUUUGGUGAUCGGUAGUUGCCAUCACCCGAGGUUUUUUAUGCCGGAGAUCAUAU
This 436-nucleotide long non-coding RNA is filed under the name Helianthus annuus (common sunflower). RNAcentral describes it as "sRNA HanXRQr2_Chr04g0159871". Lineage: Eukaryota; Viridiplantae; Streptophyta; Magnoliopsida; Asterales; Asteraceae. The record is from RNAcentral.